This 244-nucleotide ribosomal RNA is filed under the name uncultured archaeon. RNAcentral describes it as "partial 16S ribosomal RNA". It matches the Rfam family "Archaeal small subunit ribosomal RNA", at positions 345 to 596 of the family's 1478-position model. The record is from RNAcentral.
AACCUUCACAAUGCACGAAAGUGCGAUGAGGUUACCCGGAGUGCCACAUAGUGGCUGUGGUAGGUGAGUAAGAUUCCCUGCUAGGAAGGAGAGGGCAAGGCUGGUGCCAGCCGCCGCGGUAAAACCAGCUCUUCAAGUGGUCGGGACUAUUAUUGGGCUUAAAGUGUCCGUAGCCGGUUUAGUAAGUUCCUGGUUAAAUCGGAUGGCUUAACUAUCUAUCUGCUAGGAAUACUACUAUACUAGG